GUGCCAGCCGCCGCGGUAAUACGUAGGUGGCGAGCGUUGUCCGGAAUUACUGGGUGUAAAGGGCGUGUAGGCGGGAUUGCAAGUCAGAUGUGAAAUUCCGGGGCUUAACCUCGGCGCUGCAUCUGAAACUGUGAUUCUUGAGUGAUGGAGAGGAAAGUGGUAUUCCUAGUGUAGCGGUGAAAUGCGUAGAUAUUAGGAGGAACACCAGUGGCGAAGGCGACUUUCUGGACAUUAACUGACGCUGAGGCGCGAAAGCGUGGGGAGCAAACAGGAUUAGAUACCCUGGUAGUCCACGCCGUAAACGAUGGAUACUAGGUGUAGGAGGUAUCGACCCCUUCUGUGCCGGAGUUAACACAAUAAGUAUCCCACCUGGGGAGUACGGCCGCAAGGUUGAA
Molecule: ribosomal RNA, 395 nt
Filed under: uncultured bacterium
Lineage: Bacteria
Description: bacterial SSU rRNA
Rfam family: Bacterial small subunit ribosomal RNA
Source: RNAcentral